RNAcentral lists this ribosomal RNA (513 nucleotides) under uncultured bacterium. RNAcentral describes it as "partial 16S ribosomal RNA". It matches the Rfam family "Bacterial small subunit ribosomal RNA", at positions 28 to 523 of the family's 1533-position model. The record is from RNAcentral.
GACGAACGCUGGCGGCAUGCCUAAUACAUGCAAGUCGAGCGAACAGAUGAAGUGCUUGCACUUCUGACGUUAGCGGCGAACGGGUGAGUAACACGUAAGGAAUCUACCUAUAAGCGGGGGAUAACAUUCGGAAACGGGUGCUAAUACCGCAUAAUAUCUUCUUCCGCAUGGAAGAAGAUUGAAAGACGGCUCUGCUGUCACUUAUAGAUGACCUUGCGGUGCAUUAGUUAGUUGGUGGGGUAACGGCCUACCAAGACGAUGAUGCAUAGCCGACGUGAGAGGGUGAUCGGCAACAUUGGGACUGAGAAACGGCCCAAACUCUUACGGGAGGCAGCAGUAGGGAAUCUUCCGCAAUGGGCGAAAGCCUGACGGAGCAAUACCGCGUGAGUGAAGAAGGCCUUCGGGUCGUAAAACUCUGUUAUAAGAGAAGAACAAAUUGUAGAGUAACUGCUACAGUCUUGACGGUAUCUUAUCAGAAAGCCACGGCUAACUACGUGCCAGCAGCCGCCGUAA